Ciona intestinalis (vase tunicate) is the source of this 926-nucleotide non-coding RNA. NCBI's taxonomy places the organism in Eukaryota, Metazoa, Chordata, Ascidiacea, Phlebobranchia, Cionidae. The record is from RefSeq and is a predicted model, not a curated record.
AGUUUAGAUAAUGAGGCGGUUUAGAAGGUGCUUCAAUAAUUAUUAGGUUAUGUAUAUGCUAUGCGGUUAUCAACAACUUAUGAAAUAUUGGAUGAAUGUAAACUCCGGGGCGCCAGCUAACGUGUAAUAGCAUCAUGAACUACAAUCCGCAAGAUCACUCCCCGGUGUUUUGUUGUUCCUCCACUCUGGUUUUGUUGUUCCUCCACUCUAAUGUAACAAAUCCGCAAGGUAGAGAUAUAGAGUUGUACCAUUUUUAACAUCUAAACUACUGUAAAAUAAAUAUGUUUUUAAAAUAAAUUGCAAAGUAUUUUUACCACAUAUUUAACUUCGCGGGUAAAUAUUUUAGGUAAUUUUAUUUUUUUUCACAUGCGAAUUUUUAAUUCUCAAUAAAAUAUUAAUAACAGUUUGACAGCGGGCAUGAGUACCCUACAACUUCACAACAAACACAAUAACUUGUACAACACGUCACAGAUUGGUCUCCACUGUAAUAGAUGGUCGUAAUGAUAAUGUCCGUGAUCUUCUAUAUAAACUACUCGCGCUCUCUGCAAACUUUCGAUGGACUUUGGUUUGAAUUCCAUCGACAAAGUCGGAGUAAAGGAUCGGGUUCAGCGCGGAAUUCAGCGGAAGAAGGACGACCGCAGAUACCGCGUACAUGAUAUCGGGAACCUCGAUCCCGCUAAACCUCACGAACACUGUGAUAGAGAUGGGAACCCAACAACAAAAGUCGGUGACGAUUAAUCUGAUGAUCUUCCUUUGCAUGGCUGGAGGGGUUGAGCAUCACCCUGGGAGAACUGAUAUCGAAGUGCAUCGCGUAUCGACGCGCUUUGACGUAGAUGAUGACGUAUGAUGACGCAACAAACACAAACGCGGUAAAAUUAAAAGCUGCCGUCACAAUCGGGUCAACUCAGAAGCGCCAACGUGCGACU